This is a long non-coding RNA of Mytilus californianus (California mussel), 1369 nucleotides long. RefSeq lists it as uncharacterized. The record is from RefSeq and is a predicted model, not a curated record. NCBI's taxonomy places the organism in Eukaryota, Metazoa, Mollusca, Bivalvia, Mytilida, Mytilidae. The transcript is spliced from 3 exons.
UUGUUAUGAAAUUUAUACACAAUGCUUAUUACCACAAAACACAGAUCAAGUUUGAAUUUUGGUGGGGUCACUUUAACCGUUCUAGAGUUAUGCCCCUUUAUAAAUGGAAAAAUUGAAAAAUGUUCAGUUUCCGUUCUCUAACUUAAGUUUGCCUCAACCAAAUGUUAAGAAACUUAUACACAAUGCUUAUUACCACAAAACACAGAUCAAGUUUGAAUUUUGGUGGUGUCACUUUAACUUUUCUAGAGUUAUGCCCCUAUAUAAAUGGAAAAAUUGCAAAAUUUUUAUUUUCUUCUAAAUAUCAAGUAAUUUUUAUACGACCGCAAAAAAAUUUUGCGGUCGUAUAUUGGUAUGACGUUGGCGUCUUCGUCGUCGUCGUCCAAAGACACAUUGGUUUUCGCACUCUAACUUUAGUUUAAGUGAAUGGAUCUCUAUGAAAUUUUACCAUAAGGUUCAAUACCACAAAAGGAAGGUUGGGAUUGAUUUUGGGGGUUAUGGUACCAACAGUUAAGGAAUUAGGGGCCAAAAAGGGGCCAAAAAUAACCAUUUUUAUACGACCGCAAAAAUUAAAAAAUUUUUGGUCGUAUAUUGGUAUGACGUUGGCGUCGUCGUCCGGCGUCAUUGUCCGAAGACACAUUGGUUUUCGCACUCUAACUUUAGUUUAAGUGAAUGGAUCUCCAUGAAAUUUUACCAUAAGGUUCAAGACCACGAAAGGAAGGUUGGGAUUGAUUUUGGGGGUUAUGGUACCAACAGUUAAGGAAUUAGGGGCCAAAAAGGGGCCAAAAAUAAGCAUUUUGUAACUUCCAGACAAUAACUUGUGUGUAAGUGUAUGGAUCUCUCUGACAUUGUACCACAAGGUUCCAUAUCACAAAGGGAAGGCUGUAAUUGAUUUUGGGGGUAAUUGCCUCAAAAUGUUAGGAAUUAGGGGCCAAAAAAGGGGCAAAAAACAAGCAUUUUUCUAGUUUCAUGACAAUAACUUGUGUGUAAGUGUUUGGAUAUUUCUGAAAUUGUACUACAAGGUUCCAUAUCACAAAGGGAAAGCUGGAAAUGAGUUUGGGGGUAAUUGCCCAAAACGUUUAGGAAUUAGGGGCCAAAAAAGGGCCAAAAAUAAGCAUUUUUCUAGUUUACAGACAAUAACUUGUGUUUAAGUGUAUGGAUCUCUCUGAAAUUGUACUGCAAGGUACCAUACCACAAAGGGAAGACUGGGAUUGAUUUUGGGGGUAAUUGCCUCAAAAUUUUAGGAAUUAGGGGCCAAAAAGGGGCAAAAAACAAGUAUUUUUCUAGUUUCAUGACAAUAACUUGUGUGUAAGUGUAUGGAUCUUUAUGAAGUUGUACUACAAGGUUCCAUAUCACAAAGGGAAAGCUGGAA